GUUAAUGAAGCUGAAGUCCAACCUGGAGAUAAAAAUAUCUAAGCCUGGGAAGCUGCAAAAGUCACCUUUUAUCAAAUAAAAAGAGUGAGGCUAUGCCAACGUGCACCUCUUCUUGUGAAGUUCACGGAAGAAGAGAUGAGUGGGAGUCCACUCUUCUGCGAUUCGCUUGCAGUUCAUGAAAAUAAGGAAAGCGGAGUCCCAAUAAGGAGUUUUGGAGUGAGAAAUAACAAGGCAUAGCAGUGUCCCAAGACAAAGAAUAUCUCUUGAUACUAUUAAAUAUAGAUGUCUGGACUGAAUUGAGCUUACACGACAAUUGCAGUCAAGAUUCUGCAACUCAGAACGGGCAAACCAGUCUGAAUCAAUUUACCCUGUGAUCCUGUCUGCUGGGAAGCAUUGAAAUAGUAAGGAAGUCUGAUGUGCCUGCAGGUUAAUCCAGCUGUCUGGGGCACCUAAGCAUCAAGGGUGGAAAGGGAGACUGGAAGUGCAAGUCUGAAAGGAGAAAAAAGAAGGUGAAACCAGUCUGCAGGAGAAAUGACUGGGAAUUUAGAAGGAGUGGGCACCCACAAGAGAAGAGAAGACACGAAGUGAGAAAAGGCUGCUGCUUGCCAAGGCACUUUUAAGAACGGGACAUCUUAUCACUUUUCAGUUGUUUGAGCUUCUUGCUCCCCAGACUUUCAGCUAAAAUUGUGGCUGUUUUGUUGGCGGAAAUCAGUGAAAAGAAAAUGAGUUCUGUGUCUAGUUCAGUUUACAGCAGAGGCAAGACGAUGCCUGAAGCAGGUGGCAAGGAGUGAAAGGGGAGUGUGCAUGGAAGCAGCAGGUCAGAGCCAGAGUUUAUCAUGAAAGUCUGAGCCCUCGCAAACAUGGUUCAUGCACAACCCAUAAAAUUUCAUCAAACUCUCAGUCUCAAAAAUUUGUGUAGGAAGAGCCUGACAUGAAUGCUGCAAAUACAUGAUUAUUAUUCCUAGACAUAUCUAAGGGCAUCUAAAAUUAUAAAAUUUAUAGUGAUAUUGCUUAAAUUACAUUUUUGAAUAUCUCACUCAUACAUGUAUUACCUAUAUUAUUAUACUGUUAAUUAUACCUUCAUUGAUUUUUUUUAAAUUUUAUUCUUUUGUUUUAAGUUUAGAUGUGGAUGCAUUUUCUAAAAACUACAAGAUUACCCAAACAGAACCGAUUGAAUUUCAAGGUUAGGAAGUUUUUCUAAUAAUAAUUUAUGGUCCAAGUAUAAUGUGAUGAAGUGUGCUUGUAGGUACCAACCUGAGACUAUAUUUGGCAAGAGUUGAAUAAAAUAUG
Molecule: long non-coding RNA, 1290 nt
Filed under: Homo sapiens (human)
Lineage: Eukaryota; Metazoa; Chordata; Mammalia; Primates; Hominidae
Description: HSALNT0019381
Source: RNAcentral